RNAcentral lists this ribosomal RNA (242 nucleotides) under uncultured bacterium. Its description in RNAcentral is "partial 16S ribosomal RNA". It matches the Rfam family "Bacterial small subunit ribosomal RNA", at positions 559 to 793 of the family's 1533-position model. The record is from RNAcentral.
CGUAAAGACGCAUGCAGGUGGUUUGUUAAGUUCAGAUGUGAAAGACCCGGGGCGUCAACCUCGGAAUAGCAUUUGAAACUAGGCAAACUAGAGUACUGUAGAGGGGGGUAGGAAUUUCAGGUGUAGCGGUGAAAUGCGUAGAGAUCUGAAGGAAUACCGGUGGCGAAGGCGGCCCCCUCGGACAGAUACUGACACUCAGAUGCGAAAGCGUGGGGAGCAAACAGGAUUAGAUACCCUGGUAG